GAGGAAUAUUGGUCAAUGGCCGGAAGGCUGAACCAGCCAUGCCGCGUGAAGGUCAGUGCCCUAUGGGCGUUAAACUUCUUUUGUGCGGGAGCAAUAAGGUCCACGUGUGGGCCGACGAGAGUACCGUACGAAUAAGCAUCGGCUAACUCCGUGCCAGCAGCCGCGGUAAUACGGGGGAUGCAAGCGUUAUCCGGAUUUAUUGGGUUUAAAGGGUGCGUAGGCGGGUUGUUAAGUCAGUUGUGAAAGUUUGCGGCUCAACCGUAAAAUUGCAGUUGAUACUGGCAUCCUUGAGUACAGUAGAGGUAGGCGGAAUUCGUGGUGUAGCGGUGAAAUGCUUAGAUAUCACGAAGAACUCCGAUUGCGAAGGCAGCCUGCUGGACUGUAACUGACGCUGAUGCUCGAAAGUGUGGGUAUCAAACAGG
Molecule: ribosomal RNA, 422 nt
Filed under: uncultured bacterium
Lineage: Bacteria
Description: bacterial SSU rRNA
Rfam family: Bacterial small subunit ribosomal RNA
Source: RNAcentral